UGGGGAAUAUUGCACAAUGGGCGCAAGCCUGAUGCAGCCAUGCCGCGUGUGUGAAGAAGGCCUUCGGGUUGUAAAGCACUUUCAGCGAGGAGGAAGGUGGUGAGCUUAAUACGCUCAUCAAUUGACGUUACUCGCAGAAGAAGCACCGGCUAACUCCGUGCCAGCAGCCGCGGUAAUACGGAGGGUGCAAGCGUUAAUCGGAAUUACUGGGCGUAAAGCGCACGCAGGCGGUUUGUUAAGUCAGAUGUGAAAUCCCCGGGCUCAACCUGGGAACUGCAUUUGAAACUGGCAAGCUAGAGUCUCGUAGAGGGGGGUAGAAUUCCAGGUGUAGCGGUGAAAUGCGUAGAGAUCUGGAGGAAUACCGGUGGCGAAGGCGGCCCCCUGGACGAAGACUGACGCUCAGGUGCGAAAGCGUGGGGCAGCAAACAGGAUUAGAUACCCUGGUAGUCCACGCUGUAAACGAUGUCGAUUUGGAGGUUGUGCCCUUGAGGCGUGGCUUCCGGAGCUAACGCGUUAAAUCGACCGCCUGGGGAGUACGGCCGCAAGGUUAAAACUCAAAGGAAUUGACGGGGUCAUAGCUGUUUCCU
This 587-nucleotide ribosomal RNA is filed under the name uncultured bacterium. RNAcentral's name for it is "partial 16S ribosomal RNA". It matches the Rfam family "Bacterial small subunit ribosomal RNA", at positions 355 to 1375 of the family's 1533-position model. The record is from RNAcentral.